RNAcentral lists this transfer RNA (63 nucleotides) under Ornithodoros moubata. Its description in RNAcentral is "tRNA-His". Lineage: Eukaryota; Metazoa; Arthropoda; Arachnida; Ixodida; Argasidae. The record is from RNAcentral.
UACUUAAUUAGUUUAUAAUAAAAAUAUUAAAUUGUGGAUUUAAAGAAGUUUUUCAUUAGGUAA